This 341-nucleotide long non-coding RNA is filed under the name Piliocolobus tephrosceles (Ugandan red Colobus). RNAcentral describes it as "lncRNA (ENSPTEG00000020315.1)". Lineage: Eukaryota; Metazoa; Chordata; Mammalia; Primates; Cercopithecidae. The record is from RNAcentral.
CCCACGCCCCUUGCGGCGGGGUGGGAGCCCAGCCGCACACUGCGCAUGCUCCGAGCGCGGCGCCCCCGACGCGGCGUUCGGCUCGGCUCGGGCAUUUCCGCCUCUUUGUUUUAAACUCCGGACGGGCUUUUUUCUCCUCCUCUUGGGGGGGACCCAGAGGGAGCGGCGCCCCCUCCCCCCCUCCGGCGCGGACCCCGCGUGCGCCUUGCUCGCCCGCAGCCCGGAGACCGCAGGUUUUUAGAGGUGUGUGUUUGGACGAACGGAGGCAGGAUGGUGCACUUCCGGGUUCUUCUUCACCACCAACUCUUCCCGUGCGUGCGAGAAUGCAGCUGACGCCCGGG